This 492-nucleotide ribosomal RNA is filed under the name uncultured bacterium. RNAcentral's name for it is "partial 16S ribosomal RNA". It matches the Rfam family "Bacterial small subunit ribosomal RNA", at positions 29 to 507 of the family's 1533-position model. The record is from RNAcentral.
AGUGAACGCUGGCGGUAGGCCUAACACAUGCAAGUCGAACGGCAGCACAGUAAGAGCUUGCUCUUACGGGUGGCGAGUGGCGGACGGGUGAGGAAUACAUCGGAAUCUACUUUUUCGCGGGGGAUAACGUAGGGAAACUUACGCUAAUACCGCAUACGACCUACGGGUGAAAGCAGGGGAUCUUCGGACCUUGCGCGAUUGAAUGAGCCGAUGUCGGAUUAGCUAGUUGGCGGGGUAAAGGCCCACCAAGGCGACGAUCCGUAGCUGGUCUGAGAGGAUGAUCAGCCACACUGGAACUGAGACACGGUCCAGACUCCUACGGGAGGCAGCAGUGGGGAAUAUUGGACAAUGGGCGCAAGCCUGAUCCAGCAAUACCGCGUGGGUGAAGAAGGCCUUCGGGUUGUAAAGCCCUGUUGUUGGGAAAGAAAAACAGCAGGUUAAUCCCCCGCUGUUCUGACGGUACCCAAAGAAUAAGCACCGGCUAACUUCGUG